AAAUUAUUAUAACUAUGUUAAUAAAAUACAGAUAUAUAAAUAAUAAUAAUUUUAAAAUAUUAUAUGAUUAUUUUGAAAAUGAUAUACAUGAGAUAAUUAAUACACUAGUACAGGAAAAUGUAAAAUUAGAAAACAUAAACAAUGAUAACACUCAACCUAGUAAUAAGGACAUUAACUACAUUAGCAAUAUUCUAUUUUAUGAUGCAAAAACCAAAAUACAAAAAGAAAAUAAAAAAAAAUAUGAAUCCUAUUUAAAAUAUACAACAAUGGUUGAAAAAAAAAAAAAUGCUUACUUUUUAUCUCAAUUGUUACAUUAUAUAUUACUAUGUAAAUAUAAUGAAAAUAAAAAAAUAAUAAACGAUUUAAUUGAUAUAUUUAUAGAUAAUUUUCAUUUAUUUAAUAUAGAAUAUUUAUUAACUAUAUUUUUUAAUUAUGACUUGUUUCAACAUGCAGAAAAAAAAAAAAAAAUUUUUUUUUCUUGUAAACAAGAAAUAUUACAUAAAAGAAGCCAAAUCAGUGAUGUACAAAUAAAUAAAAUAUUAUCAUAUAUAAUAUAUAAUUAUAGAAAGGGAUUGUUUUAUCGUGAUUUUUAUAAAAAAUUUUAUAAAAAUCAGAAAUAUAUUAUAUAUAAUAAUGUACAAACAUUAAAAGAGAGCUUAACACACUUUAAUAAAAAACAAAUAAAUUUUAUUCAUGAAACUGAUAUAGGGUUAGUAAAUAAUAAACAAAAAAAUAAAUCUUCUGGUGUUGAUCAACUAGGUAAUACUACCUUUGCUACUACUAACCCAAUAACAAUAAAUGAAUUAUUAAAAAAAAGAGAAAUAAUAAAAAGGUAUAAAAACAAUUAUAUACAAAACGAACAAAUAUUUAAAGACACUUCAUUUUUGUUAGAUUUUACAAACAACAUUCAUAUAUUUGUCAAUUUUCGUCAUGUUCAUUUAUUCAAACUUGUUUAUAAUUUAUAUUUACUUAGUUUACUAUUUUAUAAUAAUGUGAAUAUAAUACAUAUAAUUUCUGAAAUAUCAUAUAAUCUGGUAGAGUCUAAUAUAUUUACUUUUAUUGAUCAGUAUUCAUAUUAUUUACCUGAAGAUAUUUCUAUUGUAAUUAAAGUAUUCAAAUAUGUAUCUUUUUUUAAAAUUAAUUUAAUAGAAGUAUGGAAAAAGUUUUUUUUUAUGUUACCAUUUUUUGUAAAUUCAUUAAAUCUACAAGAUAUUUACGAUAUUUUCUUUUUUAUUCAUGUCGCAAAACUGACCAAUUUGAAAAGUAACGAUUAUGAUAUAUAUAAAUUAUUAACAAAUAGAUUGAAAAAUAUCUUACAAAUUAUUUAUGAGCAUGAUAUUAAAGAAGUUAAUACUAGUCCUAAUACGUAUAUUCUGAAUAUACUAGACCUUAUUAGAGAAAAAGAUAAUAACGACGUGAAGGACUUUGCUAGCUUAUUUUUUUAUAGUGUAUAUAAAAAGAUAGUUGGAGAUGUAUCAGUUGGGGAUGUGGCAAUCGGUGAUGCAUCAGUUGGAGAUGCACCAGUUGGACAUGAUCAUAACGAGCGUAGUUGUGACAUAAACGAAAUAAAUAAAAAUGAUUCCUUAAUGGAACAAACCGAAGUAAACAUUGAAGAGACACUUACAAAUCCACACUCCGCCGAAAAAAAAAAUACCUCUCACAAAAAUAAUAACAUAAAUGAAAUGUAUAAAAAAGCAAAUAAUAUUAUCUACAAUUUUAAAGAUAUUAGAUUAUUUCUUAAAUAUUUUUUAAAAUAUUAUAAAAAAAAUCAGAACAAAUUAAAUAUACGAAUUAUUGAUUACCUUUUAUGGAAUUCACAAUUGUUUUUUUCACAAAUGAAUGAAAAUAAAUACUAUUACUAUAGUAGUUAUAUAUAUGGGGCAGAAAUGAAUGAAUAUUUCCAUCUGUUACGUAUGGUACUUAAAGAAAAAUUAUACGAUGGUAUAAGUAUGCGUAGAUGUAUUAGCAUAUUUAAAUACAUAAUAAAUAUCCAGAAAGCACAUUAUUUAACUACUAAUAUUAUGAACACGAAUAUUCAUAACAGUUUCUUUGCAAGCUAUACAGACGUAACUGACGCAAACGUUUGGGGAUAUAUCAAUAAAGUUUUUAUUAAUUCUGUAUAACUGGAAUGUCUGUUUCUGUAUAUACUUAUUUAUAUAUUUAUGUAUAUAUUUAUGUAUAUAUUUAUGUAUAUACUUAUGUGAUGCUCUAUGUGUGCAUGUACGUGUUUUCAUUUAUACAUUCAAAUUUAUUCAUCCAUCUAAUUAUUUUUUAUUUUUUUUAAAUAAUUGAGCUUUUGUACAAAUAAAUAAAUAUUAUAUAUAUAUAUAUAUGUAUUU
RNAcentral lists this long non-coding RNA (2339 nucleotides) under Piliocolobus tephrosceles (Ugandan red Colobus). RNAcentral's name for it is "lncRNA (ENSPTEG00000002325.1)". The record is from RNAcentral. Lineage: Eukaryota; Metazoa; Chordata; Mammalia; Primates; Cercopithecidae.